UGGGAAGUCUGUGAUGAGACAGGAAAUUGCUGGCCCCUGACAGGGGUUAGUGCCCUGGAACUACAGGAAAGCAUGGCCCUCAAAAAGUCCAUACUGACCAUGCAGGGGGGACAUACUCAGGGGACAUUUAGGCUGGAAGGUGACAAACUGACAGAUUUCAACACACACAGGACUUUAUGGAUACGAAAGAUGGAGGAAACAUGAGAAUUGAAUCUUCCUAAAGAUGGAAAUUUUACAGUUUUGAAGAACAUGACAGAAAUGGAGUUGUGACUGCUUUCUAUAUUGACUACGCAUUUA
Saccostrea cuccullata (small rock oyster) is the source of this 297-nucleotide long non-coding RNA. RefSeq lists it as uncharacterized. The record is from RefSeq and is a predicted model, not a curated record. The transcript has 3 exons. NCBI's taxonomy places the organism in Eukaryota, Metazoa, Mollusca, Bivalvia, Ostreida, Ostreidae.